Molecule: small nucleolar RNA, 148 nt
Organism: Kluyveromyces lactis
Lineage: Eukaryota; Fungi; Ascomycota; Saccharomycetes; Saccharomycetales; Saccharomycetaceae
Source: RefSeq, a predicted model, not a curated record
UAAAACUGACUAAACUAUAUUCUUCUUUUCGUGAUGAUUUUCUUAUAUUCACACUGUCUAAGAGUGCAGUUUAAGUACUGUAUCUCAAUGAACACACAAACGAAAAAACUGAUUUAAUGACUCUGAUUUAGAAAGAAUAUAUCAUAAA